Molecule: ribosomal RNA, 116 nt
Filed under: Erwinia sp. OLMDLW33
Lineage: Bacteria; Pseudomonadati; Pseudomonadota; Gammaproteobacteria; Enterobacterales; Erwiniaceae
Also listed under: 12 other names
Source: RNAcentral
CCUGGCGGCUUUAGCGCGGUGGUCCCACCUGACCCCAUGCCGAACUCAGAAGUGAAACGCCGUAGCGCCGAUGGUAGUGUGGGGCCUCCCCAUGCGAGAGUAGGGAACUGCUAGGC